GACGUAGGAGGCGAGCGUUAUCCGGAUUCACUGGGCGUAAAGCGCAUGUAGGCGGUUGCACAAGUCCGUUGUUAAAGCCCCUGGCUCAACUGGGGGAGGUCACGCGAUACUGAUCGACUCGAAGGCAGGAGAGGGUAGUGGAAUUCCCGGUGUAGUGGUGAAAUUCGUAGAUAUCGGGAGGAACACCGGUGGCGAAGGCGGCGACCUGGGUAGAUACUGACGCUGAGGCGCGAAAGCGUGGGGAGCAAACAGG
This 253-nucleotide ribosomal RNA is filed under the name uncultured bacterium. RNAcentral describes it as "partial 16S ribosomal RNA". It matches the Rfam family "Bacterial small subunit ribosomal RNA", at positions 524 to 776 of the family's 1533-position model. The record is from RNAcentral.